AAUGGACGAGAGUCUGAACCAGCCAAGUCGCGUGCAGGAAGAAUGUCCUAUGGAUUGUAAACUGCUUUUGCAGGGGAAUAAAGUGCAGGACGUGUCCUGUUUUGUAUGUACCCUGAGAAUAAGGAUCGGCUAACUCCGUGCCAGCAGCCGCGGUAAUACGGAGGAUCCGAGCGUUAUCCGGAUUUAUUGGGUUUAAAGGGUGCGUAGGUGGUUUGAUAAGUCAGCGGUGAAAGUUUGCAGCUUAACUGUAGAAAUGCCGUUGAAACUGUCUGACUUGAGUGUAAAUGAGGUAGGCGGAAUGCGUGGUGUAGCGGUGAAAUGCAUAGAUAUCACGCAGAACUCCGAUUGCGAAGGCAGCUUACUAAGCUACAACUGACACUGAAGCACGAAAGCGUGGGGAUCAAA
This 405-nucleotide ribosomal RNA is filed under the name uncultured bacterium. RNAcentral's name for it is "bacterial SSU rRNA". It matches the Rfam family "Bacterial small subunit ribosomal RNA", at positions 370 to 772 of the family's 1533-position model. The record is from RNAcentral.